Molecule: ribosomal RNA, 406 nt
Filed under: uncultured bacterium
Lineage: Bacteria
Description: partial 16S ribosomal RNA
Rfam family: Bacterial small subunit ribosomal RNA
Source: RNAcentral
AUUGAACGCUGGCGGCAGGCCUAACACAUGCAAGUCGAGCGAGCGGCGGACGGGUGAGUAUUGUGUGGGAAACAGCCCGAUGGAGGGGGAUAUCUCCUGGAAACGGUAGCUCUUACCGCAUACCCUCUGGUAUGCCCCGAUGGGGUUAGCUCGUAGGUGGGGUAAUGGCUCACCUAGGCGACGCUCCCUAGCUGGUCUGAGAGGAUGACCAGCCACACUGGAACUGAGACACGGUCCAGACUCCUACGGGAGGCAGCAGUGGGGAAUAUUGCACAAUGGGCGCAAGCCUGAUGCAGCCAUGCCGCGUGUAUGAAGAAGGCCUUCGGGUUGUAAAGUACUUUCAGCGGGGAGGCGUUACUCGCAGAAGAAGCACCGGCUAACUCCGUGCCAGCAGCCGCGGUAAUAC